UACGGAGGAUGCGGGCGUUAUCCGGAUUUAUUGGGUUUAAAGGGUGCGUAGGUGGGAUGCCAAGUCAGCGGUAAAAAUGCGGUGCUCAACGCCGUCGAGCCGUUGAAACUGGCGUUCUUGAGUGGGCGAGAAGUAUGCGGAAUGCGUGGUGUAGCGGUGAAAUGCAUAGAUAUCACGCAGAACUCCGAUUGCGAAGGCAGCAUACCGGCGCCCUACUGACGCUGAGGCACGAAAGCGUGGGUAUCGAACAGG
Molecule: ribosomal RNA, 252 nt
Filed under: uncultured bacterium
Lineage: Bacteria
Description: partial 16S ribosomal RNA
Rfam family: Bacterial small subunit ribosomal RNA
Source: RNAcentral